Molecule: ribosomal RNA, 230 nt
Filed under: uncultured bacterium
Lineage: Bacteria
Description: partial 16S ribosomal RNA
Rfam family: Bacterial small subunit ribosomal RNA
Source: RNAcentral
AAGACGUGCGCAGGCGGUAGUAUAAGACAGAUGUGAAAUCCCCGGGCUCAACCUGGGAACUGCAUUUGUGACUGUAUAGCUGGAGUGCGGCAGAGGGGGAUGGAAUUCCGCGUGUAGCAGUGAAAUGCGUAGAUAUGCGGAGGAACACCGAUGGCGAAGGCAAUCCCCUGGGCCUGCACUGACGCUCAUGCACGAAAGCGUGGGGAGCAAACAGGAUUAGAUACCCCGGU